AUGUGUCUGUCUAUCCCUGUUCUCUCCUCUCUGCACAGGCCACACAAAUGCCUCACACCGCGUGGCCGCUGCCACUCUAACGUGGUGGUCCCAGCGCGCACGACCCACGUGGAGUUCCAGGUCUCCGGCAGCCUCUGGAACUGCCGGUCUGCGGCCAACAAGGCAGAGUUCAUCUCAGCCUAUGCUACCCUCCAGUCCCUCGACUUCUUGGCGCUGACGGAAACAUGGAUUACCACAGAAAACACUGCUACUCCUACUGCUCUCUCCUCGUCUGACCACGUGUUCUCGCAUACCCCGAGAGCAUCUGGUCAGCGGGGUGGUGGCUCUGGAAUCCUCAUCUCUCCCAAGUGGACAUUCUCUCUUUCUCCCCUGACCCAUCUGUCUAUCUCCUCAUUUGAAUUCCAUGCUGUCACAGUCACUAGCCCAUUCAAGCUUAACAUCCUUAUCAUUUAUCGCCCUCCAGGUUCCCUUGGAGAGUUCAUCAAUGAGCUUGACGCCUUGAUAAGUUCCUUUCCUGAGGAUGGCUCACCCCUCACAGUUCUGAGUGACUUUAACCUCCCUACGACUUUAACCUCCUUUGACUCAUUUCUAUCUGCCUCCUUCUUUCCAGUCCUCUCCUCUUUUGACCUCACCCUCUCACCUUCCCCCCCUACUCACAAGGCAGGCAAUACGCUUGACCUCAUCUUUACUAGAUGCUGUUCUUCUACUAAUCUCACUGCAACUCCCCUCCAAGUCUCCGACCACUACCUUGUAUCCUUUUCCCUCUCGCUCUCCUCCAACACUACACACUCUGCCCCUACUCAGAUGGUAUUGCGCUGUCGCAACCUUCGCUCUCUCUCUCUCCUGCUCCACUCUCCUCUUCCAUCCUAUCAUCUCUUCCCUCUGCUCAAACCUUCUCCAACCAAUCUCCUGAUUCUGCUUCCUCAACCCUCCUCUCCUUCCUUUCUGCAUCCUUUGACUCUCUAUGUCCCCUAUCCUCCCGGCCGGCUUGGUCCUCCCCUCCUGCUCCGUGGCUUGACGACUCAUUGCGAGCUCACAGAACAGGGCUCCGGGCAGCCGAGCGGAAAUGGAGGAAAACUAGCCUCCCUGCGGACCUGGCAUCUUUUCACUCCCUCCUCUCUACAUUUUCUUCCUCUGUUUCUGCUGCUAAAGCCACUUUCUACCACUCUAAAUUCCAAGCAUCUGCCUCUAACCCUAGGAAGCUCUUUGCCACCUUCUCCUCCCUCCUGA
This 1230-nucleotide long non-coding RNA is filed under the name Salmo trutta (river trout). RNAcentral describes it as "lncRNA (ENSSTUG00000004482.1)". The record is from RNAcentral. Lineage: Eukaryota; Metazoa; Chordata; Actinopteri; Salmoniformes; Salmonidae.